CAGUAGCCACGGGAAUACAGAGGGUGCGAGCGUUAAUCGGAUUUACUGGGCGUAAAGCGUGCGUAGGCGGCUUCUUAAGUCGGAUGUGAAAUCCCUGAGCUUAACUUAGGAAUUGCAUUCGAUACUGGGAAGCUAGAGUAUGGGAGAGGAUGGUAGAAUUCCAGGUGUAGCGGUGAAAUGCGUAGAGAUCUGGAGGAAUACCGAUGGCGAAGGCAGCCAUCUGGCCUAAUACUGACGCUGAGGUACGAAAGCAUGGGGAGCAAACAGGAUUAGAUACCCUGUAGUCCCGUCUCUUAUACAC
This 301-nucleotide ribosomal RNA is filed under the name uncultured bacterium. RNAcentral's name for it is "partial 16S ribosomal RNA". It matches the Rfam family "Bacterial small subunit ribosomal RNA", at positions 509 to 809 of the family's 1533-position model. The record is from RNAcentral.